UGUUCUCAUCACUAUCAUUGUGGUCAUCAUUGUAAUCGUUGUCGUCGUCGUUGUUGUCGUUGUUGUUAUUGUUUUUGUUGUUGUUCUUGUUGUUAUUGUUGUUGUUGUUGUUGUUGUUGUUGUCAUCGCCGUCGUCAUCGUCGUUGUGUUUGUUCUUAUUGUUGUCGUUGGUAUCGCUUUUUUCACUAUUGUCGCCGUUGUUGUUGUUGUUGUCAUUGUUGUUGUUGUUCUCGUCAUUAUCUUUN
RNAcentral lists this long non-coding RNA (245 nucleotides) under Hordeum vulgare. RNAcentral describes it as "long non-coding RNA (HVUL_LNC021015)". The record is from RNAcentral. Lineage: Eukaryota; Viridiplantae; Streptophyta; Magnoliopsida; Poales; Poaceae.